UUAAUUGAAGCUAAUUUUUAGCACAUUACUGUUAAUAAUGCAUUAAGAGUUUAAACUCCAAUUAUC
RNAcentral lists this transfer RNA (66 nucleotides) under Xibalbanus tulumensis. RNAcentral's name for it is "tRNA-Asn". The record is from RNAcentral. Lineage: Eukaryota; Metazoa; Arthropoda; Remipedia; Nectiopoda; Speleonectidae.